Centrocercus urophasianus (Greater sage-grouse) is the source of this 1895-nucleotide long non-coding RNA. RefSeq lists it as uncharacterized. NCBI's taxonomy places the organism in Eukaryota, Metazoa, Chordata, Aves, Galliformes, Phasianidae. The transcript is spliced from 6 exons. The record is from RefSeq and is a predicted model, not a curated record.
GUCAGUGGCAGCAAACCAUUCCUGUAGAGACCUCUCCUUUAGAGCAGGGGAACAAAUGUCUUACAGAAUCCCUUCUCCCCGACACUGAGUCUGAAUUCUCAGGCAGCCUUCAGAUUUGUUGGCAUUCUCCACAUCGCUUUUACCUGCCUGCAUGCAGAGAUAGAUAAUCAUUUGGCUGACAGUGGGUUGUGACGCCUCGGUUUGCACGUUGACCGUGCGAGAGAAAUGGAGACCAAUUGAAAAUAUGGUUAUCUUUGUUGGGUUUUUCUGUAGAGUGAUGUUUUGCACCUCAAGACUUCAUUCUGUAAGAUGUAUCGACGGGAUUGCCUACCUGUAACUCAGCUUUGUAAGCAGCCUCCCGAGGUUAGCCACGGUGGUAUUACAUGCCUUGUGCUUUGCCAGCCCUGCAAGCCUGCCAAAGUCUGUUAAAGCCUUCAGAGCACAAAGCACUGAUAAGAUGGAUCCCUAACAGAACUGGCCUGCAAUUGUACUGAACCAAGAAAGGAUCUCUUUUUGGUGACUAUUUCCACAGAAGCACAAAAUGAGAUAUGACUGUCACGUGUACGUUCAGCUGGAAGUGCUAUCAUUGUAGUCACCAUUUUGGCUUUUACUGGGCUGGAGCUUGAAAUAACAACUCAUAAAUAACUCUUGGAUUCAGCUUCAGGGAAAAGGAGACAGCUCUGAAGGAAUUCAUAUCUGUAUUCUUCAAAGUCCACUGAGAAAAUAAAUGUUUGCAAUGUAUUUCCCAAGGAUUUCUCAAUUCUUUCUCUUGACCAUGUUUACAUUAAUCUCAGUUCAGUACAUGAAGAACAUUCCAGGAUAUAGGAAGGGUUUUUUUGUCCUUUUUGGAAACCUGUAACAAGUUGUACAACUUAACUGUGUCAUGCCUUCAUGCUCAGGUCUGCAGCUGCAAUAACAAUCUCCUAGGGAGCUCAGAACUUGGGGCUGCCAGUAGAAGACCAGAGGGUGGUGGUGCAGUAAGCAAACUGUACAGUGAACACAUCAGUUGUUCCAUGCCUUCACUGAUGUCUUAGCAAAGUGCUGAAGAAGUGAUUAAGAUGUGCAGUGAACUUUUUCAGGUUGAAUUCAAGCUCAUAAUGCUUACUUUGUUUGGUAGUUUUGAGAGAAGAUGAGAGGCCUUUAUCCAGAUUUCUAUGUCCCCAUCUGAUAAAGACAAUAAGGUACAAUACAUAAAAAAUGAAGAAUUAUCAGCCUGACUUUUCCUCUACUCAUAUUUAAACACUUCCCAGGUCAUUUAAUAAUUUCAUACGUAUCAAGAAAGAGAGAGCAUGCACUGACUUAGUCUCAGAGUAUAAGAUACUAUUGUCUAAACAGGGUGUGCUUGUCUCCAGCUUCUGCUUUAACACUGUACAUUUAUUCACAGAGCCCCACAUAACUCACAGAGCCCCCCAUUUUCUCUACAAUAGUUGGAAAUGUGCUGUAAUAUUUCACUUGGCACUUUUUGUAAGUUGGGCCUGUUAUAUUGGAGUUUCUAAAGUCUUAUCUUUUUAAGUGUGAAGAGGACUUUAUCUAUCUAUAUCUCUAUAUAGACAUUUUCAUUUGAACACUGCAAUAGGUCUGUUGUGAUUUCAGUGCCAAAUAAGAUGAUUGUGGAGGGCAGGAAUAUCAUCCAUGUGAUCUGCUUGUUAAUUGAUGGAUGGAUUGUAUGGUGGGUUCCCAGGAGUCCUCGAAGAGCUAUGCUGAAUUUGGAUGGGUUUUCUGCUUGUGUGCAUCUGCCUCAUUAGUUUGCCAAUGUGUCCAGAAAUUCUUGGGAGGAAAGUCAUUACCAGUAUAAGCUGACUUACUGCAGCAGAGUUACAGCAGGAACAGGUUGGGUCUCCUGCCAACAAACCUUGCAGUUGUGUCACACAGAAUCUGAGACACCAAAAUGUUGA